This 505-nucleotide ribosomal RNA is filed under the name uncultured bacterium. RNAcentral's name for it is "partial 16S ribosomal RNA". It matches the Rfam family "Bacterial small subunit ribosomal RNA", at positions 28 to 507 of the family's 1533-position model. The record is from RNAcentral.
GACGAACGCUGGCGGCGUGCCUAAUACAUGCAAGUAGAACGCACAGUUUAUACCGUAGCUUGCUACACCAUAAACUGUGAGUUGCGAACGGGUGAGUAACGCGUAGGUAACCUGCCUGGUAGCGGGGGAUAACUAUUGGAAACGAUAGCUAAUACCGCAUAAUAUUGAUUAUUGCAUGAUAAUUGAUUGAAAGAUGCUAUUGCAUCACUACCAGAUGGAUCUGCGUUGUAUUAGCUAGUAGGUGAGGUAACGGCUCACCUAGGCGACGAUACAUAGCCGACCUGAGAGGGUGAUCCGCCAACCUGGGACUGGGAAACGGCCCAGGAUCCCACGGGAGGGAGCAGGAGGGAAUCUUCGGCAAUGGACGAAAGGCUGACCGAGCAACGCCGCGGGGGUGAAGAAGGGUUUCGGAUCGUAAAGCUCUGUUGUAAGAGAAGAACGGGUGUGAGAGUGGAAAGUUCACACUGUGACGGUACCUUACCAGAAAGGGACGGCUAACUACGUG